GGAAACAAAUGCUAAUACCGUAUAAUAAUUAAAACCGCAUGGUUUUAGUUUAAAAGAUGGUCUUGCUAUCACUAAGAGAUGGUCCCGCGGUGUAUUAGUUAGUUGGUGAGGUAAUGGCUCACCAAGACAAUGAUACAUAGCCGAGUUGAGAGACUGACCGGCCACAAUGGGACUGAGACACGGCCCAUACUCCUACGGGAGGCAGCAGUAGGGAAUCUUCCACAAUGGACGAAAGUCUGAUGGAGCAACGCCGCGUGUGUGAUGAAGGGUUUCGGCUCGUAAAAACACUGUUGUAAGAGAAGAAUGACAUUGAGAGUAACUGUUCAAUGUGUGACGGUAUCUUACCAGAAAGGAACGGCUAAAUACGUG
RNAcentral lists this ribosomal RNA (369 nucleotides) under uncultured bacterium. Its description in RNAcentral is "bacterial SSU rRNA". It matches the Rfam family "Bacterial small subunit ribosomal RNA", at positions 152 to 507 of the family's 1533-position model. The record is from RNAcentral.